RNAcentral lists this non-coding RNA (161 nucleotides) under Caulobacter sp. RNAcentral describes it as "6S RNA". It matches the Rfam family "6S / SsrS RNA". Rfam says of the family: E. coli 6S RNA was the first non coding RNA to be sequenced, but its function was unknown until recently. Lineage: Bacteria; Pseudomonadati; Pseudomonadota; Alphaproteobacteria; Caulobacterales; Caulobacteraceae. The record is from RNAcentral.
GUCCUGCUGCGGCUCUCGUCGAAGGCAACACAUCCCAGCGACCUUAAUUCGCUCGAAGGGAGCUGACCCUGUCCUUCCCCGUGGGGUUGGACACUCGGCGCCCACCUGGUUAUCCAGGUCGAGGGGAUAGAACCGCCCUUCACGGCUCUUGCGGCGCCGCC